Molecule: ribosomal RNA, 1372 nt
Filed under: uncultured bacterium
Lineage: Bacteria
Description: bacterial SSU rRNA
Rfam family: Bacterial small subunit ribosomal RNA
Source: RNAcentral
GAUGAACGCUGGCGGCGUGCCUAAUACAUGCAAGUCGAGCGAACGGACGAGAAGCUUGCUUCUCUGAUGUUAGCGGCGGACGGGUGAGUAACACGUGGAUAACCUACCUAUAAGACUGGGAUAACUUCGGGAAACCGGAGCUAAUACCGGAUAAUAUUUUGAACCGCAUGGUUCAAAAGUGAAAGACGGUCUUGCUGUCACUUAUAGAUGGAUCCGCGCUGCAUUAGCUAGUUGGUAAGGUAACGGCUUACCAAGGCAACGAUGCAUAGCCGACCUGAGAGGGUGAUCGGCCACACUGGAACUGAGACACGGUCCAGACUCCUACGGGAGGCAGCAGUAGGGAAUCUUCCGCAAUGGGCGAAAGCCUGACGGAGCAACGCCGCGUGAGUGAUGAAGGUCUUCGGAUCGUAAAACUCUGUUAUUAGGGAAGAACAUAUGUGUAAGUAACUGUGCACAUCUUGACGGUACCUAAUCAGAAAGCCACGGCUAACUACGUGCCAGCAGCCGCGGUAAUACGUAGGUGGCAAGCGUUAUCCGGAAUUAUUGGGCGUAAAGCGCGCGUAGGCGGUUUUUUAAGUCUGAUGUGAAAGCCCACGGCUCAACCGUGGAGGGUCAUUGGAAACUGGAAAACUUGAGUGCAGAAGAGGAAAGUGGAAUUCCAUGUGUAGCGGUGAAAUGCGCAGAGAUAUGGAGGAACACCAGUGGCGAAGGCGACUUUCUGGUCUGUAACUGACGCUGAUGUGCGAAAGCGUGGGGAUCAAACAGGAUUAGAUACCCUGGUAGUCCACGCCGUAAACGAUGAGUGCUAAGUGUUAGGGGGUUUCCGCCCCUUAGUGCUGCAGCUAACGCAUUAAGCACUCCGCCUGGGGAGUACGACCGCAAGGUUGAAACUCAAAGGAAUUGACGGGGACCCGCACAAGCGGUGGAGCAUGUGGUUUAAUUCGAAGCAACGCGAAGAACCUUACCAAAUCUUGACAUCCUUUGACAACUCUAGAGAUAGAGCUUUCCCCUUCGGGGGACAAAGUGACAGGUGGUGCAUGGUUGUCGUCAGCUCGUGUCGUGAGAUGUUGGGUUAAGUCCCGCAACGAGCGCAACCCUUAAGCUUAGUUGCCAUCAUUAAGUUGGGCACUCUAAGUUGACUGCCGGUGACAAACCGGAGGAAGGUGGGGAUGACGUCAAAUCAUCAUGCCCCUUAUGAUUUGGGCUACACACGUGCUACAAUGGACAAUACAAAGGGCAGCGAAACCGCGAGGUCAAGCAAAUCCCAUAAAGUUGUUCUCAGUUCGGAUUGUAGUCUGCAACUCGACUACAUGAAGCUGGAAUCGCUAGCAAUCGUAGAUCAGCAUGCUACGGUGAAUACGUUCCCGGGUCU